GGCCCUGUAGCUCAGUUGGUUAGAGCGCUGCACCGGAAUCGCAGGGCCGUAGGUUCAAUUCCUACCAGAGGACC
This 74-nucleotide transfer RNA is filed under the name Paramuricea clavata. Its description in RNAcentral is "tRNA-Ser". The stretch from base 5 to 68 matches the Rfam family "tRNA", at positions 5 to 66 of the family's 71-position model. From Rfam's summary of the family: Transfer RNA (tRNA) molecules are approximately 80 nucleotides in length. Their secondary structure includes four short double-helical elements and three loops (D, anti-codon, and T loops). The record is from RNAcentral. Lineage: Eukaryota; Metazoa; Cnidaria; Anthozoa; Malacalcyonacea; Plexauridae.